GUAAGUUGCAGACACUUUGUUCUGAUAGGUUUAAAUUGCUGCCCUUCAAAGAGCAGGGUAGGGUUUUUACAGCAGCGGUGGGUUAUGGGAGUCUGAGGCCACAGACACGCUCUGCAGUGGUCGUUUCUGAGGGUGUGGGUUUGGUGGGUCCGCCCGGGCCGCUUCUUCCGUCGGUCUGCGGCGAGUCAGUCUGAAACAGUUCGCGUCUAUCCGGCGGCAUUGAGUCUUGGUCCUUCGCCGGAGUGUCAGGCUCAGGGGUCCCAGCCAGUGAGGGUGACAGUUUGGAUUGGCCUCGGGAGCGCAGCCUGGCCCGUCCCUGAAUCCCAGUAUUGGGUUCUGGGUGUCCCAAAAUCCCGCGUGAUGGUGAAGGCGCUGGGGCUCGGGUAGGACUGGCUCGGAAUUUCAUCUUGGCCGAUCUCCUCGGUGGAGAUGCACACCCUCGCUGAACCUCGCGGGUAGAGGGCCGUGGCGUGGGAUUGUUCACAUUCGUGCAGUAGAGUUUUUAGCCGUUAAUGAAGGGUCUCUGCCUCCGUUAUUCGGAGGGUCCAGGAGGCAGUGAUGGGGGCCAGCUGGCCAGGGUUCCCUUCCCCAGGUCCCUGGAAAUCAAGCAGAAGCUCCACCGCAGCAGGCGUCCUGGCCCUUGACGACGAUGCCCGAUGCUUCAGUGACUCAUGCUGCUAUUUUUGGUGCUGCUGCUCUCAAGAUCAGAUCUGUUCCCAGUUCCACACUUGUCUACCCAGCUGCCUCCUCGACGUCUACGCUUGGAUGGCAAAUGGACUUCGCAAUGUGUUCAAAUCAGAGCUCCCAACAUGCUCCCCUGAAGCUGUUCUUCCCUUGACUUCCCUCUUGUCAGUGGCCUCACUAUUCUUGGGCUGGUUCACGCU
This is a long non-coding RNA of Bos taurus (domestic cattle), 884 nucleotides long. Lineage: Eukaryota; Metazoa; Chordata; Mammalia; Artiodactyla; Bovidae. The record is from Ensembl.